Molecule: ribosomal RNA, 788 nt
Filed under: uncultured Lactobacillus sp.
Lineage: Bacteria; Bacillati; Bacillota; Bacilli; Lactobacillales; Lactobacillaceae
Description: bacterial SSU rRNA
Rfam family: Bacterial small subunit ribosomal RNA
Source: RNAcentral
GACGAACGCUGGCGGCGUGCCUAAUACAUGCAAGUCGAGCGAGCUUGCCUAGAUGAAUUUGGUGCUUGCACCAAAUGAAACUAGAUACAAGCGAGCGGCGGACGGGUGAGUAACACGUAGGUAACCUGCCCAAGAGACUGGGAUAACACCUGGAAACAGAUGCUAAUACCGGAUAACAACACUAGACGCAUGUCUAGAGUUUAAAAGAUGGUUCUGCUAUCACUCUUGGAUGGACCUGCGGUGCAUUAGCUAGUUGGUAAGGUAACGGCUUACCAAGGCAAUGAUGCAUAGCCGAGUUGAGAGACUGAUCGGCCACAUUGGGACUGAGACACGGCCCAAACUCCUACGGGAGGCAGCAGUAGGGAAUCUUCCACAAUGGACGCAAGUCUGAUGGAGCAACGCCGCGUGAGUGAAGAAGGUUUUCGGAUCGUAAAGCUCUGUUGUUGGUGAAGAAGGAUAGAGGUAGUAACUGGCCUUUAUUUGACGGUAAUCAACCAGAAAGUCACGGCUAACUACGUGCCAGCAGCCGCGGUAAUACGUAGGUGGCAAGCGUUGUCCGGAUUUAUUGGGCGUAAAGCGAGCGCAGGCGGAAGAAUAAGUCUGAUGUGAAAGCCCUCGGCUUAACCGAGGAACUGCAUCGGAAACUGUUUUUCUUGAGUGCAGAAGAGGAGAGUGGAACUCCAUGUGUAGCGGUGGAAUGCGUAGAUAUAUGGAAGAACACCAGUGGCGAAGGCGGCUCUCUGGUCUGCAACUGACGCUGAGGCUCGAAAGCAUGGGUAGCGAACAGG